RNAcentral lists this ribosomal RNA (497 nucleotides) under uncultured bacterium. RNAcentral's name for it is "partial 16S ribosomal RNA". It matches the Rfam family "Bacterial small subunit ribosomal RNA", at positions 28 to 507 of the family's 1533-position model. The record is from RNAcentral.
GAUGAACGCUGGCGGCGUGCCUAAUACAUGCAAGUCGAACGAACAGACGAGGAGCUUGCUCCUCUGACGUUAGCGGCACACGGGUGUGUAACACGUGGAUAACCUACCUAUCAGACUGGGAAAACUUCGGGAAACCGGAUCUUAUACCGGAUGAUCUAUUGCACCGCAGGGUGCGAUAGUGAAAGACGGUUUUGCUGUCACUUCUAGAUGGAUCCGCGCCGCAUUAGCUAGUUGGUAAGGUAACGGCUUAUCAAGGCAACGAGGCGUAGCCGAGCUGAGAGGGUGAUAGGCCACACUGGAGGUGAGACACGGUCCAGACUCCUACGGGAGGCAGCAGUAGGGAAUCUGCCGCAGUGGGCGAAAACCUGACGGAGCAACGCCGCGUGAGUGGUGAAGGUCUUCGGAGCGUAAAACUGUGUUAUGAGGGAAGAACAAAUGUGUAAGUAACUAUGCACGUCUUGACGGUACCGAAUCAGAAAGCCACGGCUAACUACGUG